UCAUAGCUCAGCUGGAUAGAGCAACGGCCUUCUAAGCCGUGGGUCGCAGGUUCGAAUCCUGCUGG
RNAcentral lists this transfer RNA (65 nucleotides) under pig gut metagenome. It matches the Rfam family "tRNA", at positions 6 to 65 of the family's 71-position model. From Rfam's summary of the family: Transfer RNA (tRNA) molecules are approximately 80 nucleotides in length. Their secondary structure includes four short double-helical elements and three loops (D, anti-codon, and T loops). The record is from RNAcentral.